CUUUAUGACGGAAAGUGGCAUCAGCUCAAAGUCCUGGUGAGACCACGUCAGGUCAGCAGUUUCCUGGACGAUCUGCUGAUCCAGGAAGAACUGCUGGAACCGGUGGAGCCCAUCUACAUCAAUGGAGAGACCCAGGUUGCUAAGAGACGGGGAACCGACCUCCCUGUGGCCGUGGAGAUUCAGAAGCUUCGUCUGUACUGUGACCCUCAUCAGAGCGAGAGAGAAACGGCGUGUGAGAUCUACUCUGUGGACGAUGAAAGGUGUCCUCUGAAUCGAACAGCCACCGCGGAC
This is a non-coding RNA of Gasterosteus aculeatus aculeatus (three-spined stickleback), 291 nucleotides long. The record is from RefSeq and is a predicted model, not a curated record. Lineage: Eukaryota; Metazoa; Chordata; Actinopteri; Perciformes; Gasterosteidae.